CAUUCAGUCUCUCUUGCUUCUUCCUCUGCAAUUCGGCUUCAUAGUUUCUCAGUCUUUCAUUCAUUCUCUCCUUGAAUCUAAUUAUAAG
This is a long non-coding RNA of Neltuma alba, 88 nucleotides long. RefSeq lists it as uncharacterized. The record is from RefSeq and is a predicted model, not a curated record. The transcript is spliced from 3 exons. NCBI's taxonomy places the organism in Eukaryota, Viridiplantae, Streptophyta, Magnoliopsida, Fabales, Fabaceae.